UGUUGGGACAACUUUGUGUAGGCCCUAACAGUUUGUGGGCAACGUUUGUCACCAUUUUAGUGAAAUUAAUCUAUUGUUUAGUGUUGUGUUGUUGCUUUUCCGGCAUUCAUCCCUCUUUUUUUGGUUUAUCCCACCAAGCUUUACAUGCUAAAAUCGUCACGGGUUGUAAUAUUAACUUACCAUAUGUAUCCAUCUUUGCACACAUGCCAGUACAUUUUCUGAUAGGACACCUUGAGCAGGCCUUUCUUCUGGAGGUAUUUCACCUUUUAAGCUGUUUUUUUGGCUACAAUAUAUGACUUAGCACACGAGCUAUUUUCAAUUAAAAAUCCUUGGGUCAGGUAUUGGAUUUGGGUGCGCACUUUAAGAGUAAAAAUUUGUAUCCAGCUGGAAAUUGGACCAAAAAAAAGAGAGUUCACUUGUUCACAUGUUGUUUAACGUCAUCGAGGACAAAACGCAGUGACAGUCAACGCUGACCAAGGCCAACCAUGAAUGUCUUACAAACAAUGUAAGAAGAUGGCCUCAUCAGCAGAGAUUGAUGCCAUAACUGAAUUGGUAGAUGUCGAGAUCCCUAAGUAAGAUGUAUGGGAACCAACUGUGGUUGCUGUAGAUGAUUAUGUACCUCCCAUAGAUGGGGACAACGUUGACAAGAUGUGUGAGUCGGACAAUAGCUCAGAUUUUUCAAGCUCAGACGGCUCGUCAUCCACUGACAGUGAAUAUGAAAAAAAGAAGAAGAAGAAGAAGGGGAAAAAAGGAAACAGCUAAAUCCAGAGGACUCGAGACCACAGCAGCGAUCCUGCUCUUGCUCUACUUCUUCAAUGAGGACCCGUGAUGUCCUUGGCAAGAUUUUACCGCUCCCUACUCCUUUACUGCACAUCGGCGGAAAUCCAUUUCACCAUGAGAGUGAAAUCAUGCUGGCCUUUGAUGGGGAGAACAUCCACGCCUUCGAGGACGUCCCCUUGGGACUUGGGGCUCUGCUAGGGCUGUAUUUUUUAUUCUCAGUUAAAUUUCCCCAAAAUGUCAGAAAAACACUUAUGUUCUUAAGUUACUGUGUUCUGGGGAUAAGAGAAGUUGGGUGAAGUUACCAAGGGCCGGUCAUAGAGAUGGCAAACUUGCAAACUUCCUAACAUAACUAAGUGGUUGUUGGGCAAGUGGUUGUUGGACACACACACACACAAAAGCAAAAAAAGCUGUAUUUAGCAUCACGUCUACAAUAUUGUUAGUUUACCUAUGAUUCAUUUUUAACG
This is a non-coding RNA of Salmo salar (Atlantic salmon), 1244 nucleotides long. The record is from RefSeq and is a predicted model, not a curated record. Lineage: Eukaryota; Metazoa; Chordata; Actinopteri; Salmoniformes; Salmonidae.